GUUCGCUUCGGCAGCACAUAUACUAAAAUUGGAACAAUACAGAGGAGAUUAGCUUGGCCCCUGCACAAGGAUGACAUGCAAAUUUGUGAAGCGUUCCAUAUACUA
Molecule: small nuclear RNA, 105 nt
Organism: Neomonachus schauinslandi (Hawaiian monk seal)
Lineage: Eukaryota; Metazoa; Chordata; Mammalia; Carnivora; Phocidae
Source: RefSeq, a predicted model, not a curated record